CCAGUGGGAGAAAUUAAUUCAAAAAAUUGCAAGGCAAAUCUCUGUUUCAAAUACUAACUAAUAUUUCAAGCAUGUUAGCCCUUCUUUAUUUGAUCAUUAACAACAGGCAAUUCCGGAAUCCAAGCAGGUUAUAUCGAUCAUAAUUGAAAAAACAAUAAUUUAUGCACAAGUUCAGACAAAGUAUGUUACCAUAGCUGAACUCUACUGUAAAUAGGUCUCGGAAGUGAUCCUUUUGGUAGUCCAAGUGCCGCUUCAACACCCUCAAGCAUGCUUGUUUUCACCUUUUCCGCUGUUUGACUUGGUAUAUUUUCCUGGUAAUGCAAUUCGAAAAACUUAUACAUAUCUGACAAAACCCCCCAAACUACUAUAGUUUCAAACACAAUAUAACAGUAAUAUCACCAAGGUUCAACAUAGAGCGGGAUAGUCCACGAGAAUCACAAAGCUUUUCAUCGGUCCAAAACUAACCUGAGGAACCUUGUUUUGUUUUCCAUAGGCUGCGGUGCUGAAAAAAGUCCAACAGUGAGGACCAUUACUCUGAGAACCCAAAAGCUUCAGUGAAUUGUUUGCCAUCCAAGAUACGGAAUCAACUCCCUUAACAAAAGCUCCUUGAAAUGUCACUUUACCAUCUCCCAUAGGAAGGGGAUGCUCGAAUGCUGCAAGAAGUGCCCAUAUUGAACUCAAAUCUAGCCUCUAC
RNAcentral lists this long non-coding RNA (694 nucleotides) under Gossypium barbadense (sea-island cotton). Its description in RNAcentral is "long non-coding RNA (GBAR_LNC018879)". The record is from RNAcentral. Lineage: Eukaryota; Viridiplantae; Streptophyta; Magnoliopsida; Malvales; Malvaceae.